GGCUGAAUGGUCUAGCGGUAUGAUUCUCGCUUUGGGUACAUUAAAACCACAGAUGCGAGAGGCCCCGGGUUCAAUCCCCGGUUCAGCCC
This 89-nucleotide transfer RNA is filed under the name Aaosphaeria arxii CBS 175.79. RNAcentral describes it as "tRNA-Pro". It matches the Rfam family "tRNA". From Rfam's summary of the family: Transfer RNA (tRNA) molecules are approximately 80 nucleotides in length. Their secondary structure includes four short double-helical elements and three loops (D, anti-codon, and T loops). Further hydrogen bonds mediate the characteristic L-shaped molecular structure. tRNAs have two regions of fundamental functional importance: the anti-codon, which is responsible for specific mRNA codon recognition, and the 3' end, to which the tRNAs corresponding amino acid is attached (by aminoacyl-tRNA synthetases). tRNAs cope with the degeneracy of the genetic code in two manners: having more than one tRNA (with a specific anti-codon) for a particular amino acid; and 'wobble' base-pairing, i.e. permitting non-standard base-pairing at the 3rd anti-codon position. Lineage: Eukaryota; Fungi; Ascomycota; Dothideomycetes; Pleosporales. The record is from RNAcentral.